Molecule: long non-coding RNA, 1485 nt
Filed under: Citrus sinensis (sweet orange)
Lineage: Eukaryota; Viridiplantae; Streptophyta; Magnoliopsida; Sapindales; Rutaceae
Description: long non-coding RNA (CSIN_LNC005277)
Source: RNAcentral
UCUUAAUACAUAGAAAGAACUCGAUGCCUUAUUCAAGAUGCCGCACAGAAGGUUGGCCUGAAUCGUCUUCAUAAGUUUGGACUCCCUGUAAACAAAGAGCAAAAACACAUUGUUGGCAGAUUCUUGAUGCUGAUAAUGGCUGUAGAUUAGAGAGCUCUACCGAUCGGGUAGCUACCAGAGAUAUAGUACAAUUUGUUCCUAUGCGAGAAGUUCAUAGUGAGUGCAUAUGAUUCUUUGACAAAAUUAGUUCAAACUAUUGAAUUUGGGAGUUAAUUCACAUAAGUUUCUGAAUUUUUUCAUGCCUGAACAAACGAGCCCAUUGUUUUCUGAACAGGUGGGCAAGUUUCUGUUGUACAAGCACUUUUGGAGGAGUUGCCUGGUCAGUUUUUGACCUACAUGCGCUGUAGAGAUAUCAAACCACUCAAUGUUCAGAUGGCCCAAACAUGCGCUUGAGUAAAUAUUCAUAUGUUUGGAAAGGAUACAAAAACAAACCAAAUAUAUUAGACAAGACCAAGCCAAACAUAUUAGGCUAUACAAACAUAACAUAGCAGACAUUGAUAAUGGUACAUUACAUAUGUUAGGAUAUAGCGGUUUUAGACGAUGGUAAAUUACAUAUGUUAAGAUAGAGUGGUUUGUAACUAACUUUUGAUGGCUUAAUGAAUUGAUUGAAUUUGUAUUUAGGUUCUAUCAAUGAUCUCAUAUUCUUCCCAUCCAUGUCUUUCGAUUUUUAUUAUUCCCUCUACCCACUUUUUUCACAAUUGUUUGUGUCUGAUGGCUUAAAACUCCAAUUUCUGUUGCUCAUAAACUACUACACCAGCAAUCUAACACAUGGCUCACGUGCACACUAGACAAGUCUGAUUCACACAUCUUUAAAGUGUUGUAUUAUAACUCUCUGAAACUGGGUUUGAGUAAUCAAGAAUAGCCAAAAUGUAGAACAGUGACAAUAAAAAAUGAAGACCCUCUUACAGUCUUAACUUGAUAGAAGAAAACACGAGCUACAUACCAUGUCUCACAAAUUUCAAAGAAAAUUGGCCUCAUUCCUGAUGCUGCACAGAAGGCUGGCCUGAAUCAUCUUUAAGAAAGCUCAUUUAUUACAUUAAUACAUUAUAUCAGUGAGAUGAUGCUACUUUAAUGAAACUCAUGUCUCAAGUUAGGAACAGCUACAUGGGCAUUUCAUCGAACAGUUGAUAUGCUCGGCAGAUAAUCGAAGUUUCCUGGAAGUCGGAAGUGCUGCUGGCAUUUUCAAAGUUGGAAGACCAUUCAAAGGUUUUCAAUAGUUAGUUUGAUAUUACACGUGUGAUAAUCUUGUGAUGAUGAUGAUUUUAUGUAUCUGAUUGUAAGCUAAGCUCAGUGGAUUUGUAAGUAAGCACACGGAAAAGUAUUUAAUCUUCUUAUUGUCGCAUUCUUCUAAUCUUAGCUUUCACCAACAAAAAUAAUUAAUAAUAAUGUAAAUGGAGGAACUUGGGAUCAUUAAUAUCAGUAAAC